RNAcentral lists this long non-coding RNA (918 nucleotides) under Ananas comosus (pineapple). RNAcentral's name for it is "long non-coding RNA (ACOM_LNC024144)". Lineage: Eukaryota; Viridiplantae; Streptophyta; Magnoliopsida; Poales; Bromeliaceae. The record is from RNAcentral.
UUUAGGGCCUGUUUGUAUGCUCAGUAAAAAAUUUUUACGAAAUUUAUAAACUGUAAUUUUUAUCGAGAUAAAAUAGAAAAUUCUGCAACUCUAAAAAAUUCCACGGAUUCAAUUUUUAAACUAUUUGGAUGCUUAUUGUGCAAUUUCACAGAAUUUUUUUAAAUUUUAAAAUUAAAAUUAAAAUUAAAAUUUUAAAAUUUCAAUAAAAAUUUAAAAUUUAAAAUUUAAAAUUUGAUAUAUGAAAUGUGAAAUAUUAAAUUUUAAAUUUUUAUAUUUGAAAUAUAAAAUUUAAAAUUUAAAAAUUUAAAAUUUAAAAUAUAAAAAAUUAAAUUUAAUAUUUUUAAAUAAAAAAUUUGAAAUUUGAAAUUUAAAAUUUAGAAUUUUAAAUUUUAAAUUUUAAAUUUAAAAAAUAAAUUUAAAAUUAAAAGUUUAAAAUUUGAAAUUUGAACUAUGAGAUUUGAAAUUUGAAAUUUGAAAUUUGAAAUUUGAAAUUUAAAUUUUAAAAUAUAAAAGUUAAAAUUUAAAAUUUAAAGUUUAAAAUUUAAAUUUAAAAUUUAAAAUUUAAAAUUUUAUUUAAAAUUUAAAAUUUAAAAUUUAAAAUUUAAAAUUUAAAAUGAAAAUUUUAAAUAUAAAAAAAUUAAAUUUUAUAAUUUAAAAUUUAAAAUCUAUAUUGAAACUUAAAAUUUUAUGUGGAAAUUUAAAAGUUAGAUCUUAUACAUUUUUUGAAUAAAGGAGCUUAAGAAUGAUGGUAUUCUUUUUCUUUGUUUAGAAUAGAUUAUAUUUUUACAUCAUUUUUAAGAGUGUAGUUUAACUAUACUUCAAAAAUUAUGUUAUUUUUUCUUCCAAAUAUGUAAUAGGAUAUUUUUUCUACCGACGUAGUAUAAUUUAACUAUUCUAUAUUUUCAGAAGUAUCGAAAC